Molecule: ribosomal RNA, 253 nt
Filed under: uncultured bacterium
Lineage: Bacteria
Description: partial 16S ribosomal RNA
Rfam family: Bacterial small subunit ribosomal RNA
Source: RNAcentral
UACGUAGGGUGCAAGCGUUGUCCGGCAUUAUUGGGCGUAAAGAGCUCGUAGUCGGUCUGUCACGUCGGAUGUGAAAAUCCAGGGCUCAACCCUGGACCUGCAUUCGAUACGGGCAGACUAGAAUUCGGUAGGGGAGACUGGAAUUCCUGGUGUAGCGGUGAAAUGCGCAGAGAUCAGGAGGAACAGCGGUGGCGAAGGCGUGUCUCUGGGCCGAUAUUGACGCUGAGGAGCGAAAGCGUGGGGAGCGAACAGG